GACGAACGCUGGCGGCGUGCUUAACACAUGCAAGUCGAACGCUGAAGCUUGGUGCUUGCACUGGGUGGAUGAGUGGCGAACGGGUGAGUAAUACGUGAGUAACCUGCCCUUGACUCUGGGAUAAGCCUGGGAAACUGGGUCUAAUACUGGAUACGACAUGUCACCGCAUGGUGGUGUGUGGAAAGGGUUUUACUGGUUUUGGAUGGGCUCACGGCCUAUCAGCUUGUUGGUGGGGUAAUGGCUCACCAAGGCGACGACGGGUAGCCGGCCUGAGAGGGUGACCGGCCACACUGGGACUGAGACACGGCCCAGACUCCUACGGGAGGCAGCAGUGGGGAAUAUUGCACAAUGGGCGGAAGCCUGAUGCAGCGACGCCGCGUGAGGGAUGACGGCCUUCGGGUUGUAAACCUCUUUCAGCACGGAAGAAGCGAAAGUGACGGUACGUGCGGAAGAAGCGCCGGCUAACUACGUG
RNAcentral lists this ribosomal RNA (472 nucleotides) under uncultured bacterium. RNAcentral describes it as "partial 16S ribosomal RNA". It matches the Rfam family "Bacterial small subunit ribosomal RNA", at positions 28 to 507 of the family's 1533-position model. The record is from RNAcentral.